This 585-nucleotide long non-coding RNA is filed under the name Homo sapiens (human). Its description in RNAcentral is "non-protein coding lnc-CCDC140-1:11". The record is from RNAcentral. Lineage: Eukaryota; Metazoa; Chordata; Mammalia; Primates; Hominidae.
GACGAAGAUGAGGCCGGUGAAGAGCAGCACCACCAUGGAGAGGAAGGAGAAGACCACGCACACGCAGCCAGCGUGCAAUACAGUUGACCCUUGGACAACAUGGAUUGGAACCGUGCAGGUCUACUAACUAAUACACAGAUUCUCUUCCACCUAUGCCACCCUUGAGACAGCAAGACCAACCCCUCCUCUUCCUCCUCCUUUUCAGUCCACUCAAUGUGAAGACAAGGAAAAUGAAGAACUUUAUGAUGAUCCAUGCUAUUAGUCUGUUCUCACACCGCUAAUAAAGACAUACCCGAGACUGGGUAAUUUAUAAAAGAAAGAGGUUUAAUGGACUCACAGUUCUACAUGGCUGCGGAAGCCCCACAAUCAUGAUGGAAAGCAAAGGAGGAGCAAAGUCACGUCUCACAUGGUAGCAGGCAAGAGAGCAUGUGUGGGGGAACUUCCCUUUAUAAAACCAACAGAUCUCGUGAGACCUAUUCACUAUCACAAGAACAGCAUGGGAAAACCCACCCUCAUGAUUCGAUUACCUUCCACCAAUUCCCUCCCACUAUACGUGGAGAUUAUUACAAUUCAAGAAUAAGGAGU